RNAcentral lists this transfer RNA (130 nucleotides) under Aureobasidium namibiae CBS 147.97. It matches the Rfam family "tRNA". From Rfam's summary of the family: Transfer RNA (tRNA) molecules are approximately 80 nucleotides in length. Their secondary structure includes four short double-helical elements and three loops (D, anti-codon, and T loops). Lineage: Eukaryota; Fungi; Ascomycota; Dothideomycetes; Dothideales; Saccotheciaceae. The record is from Rfam by way of RNAcentral.
GCCGUGGUGGUGCAGUGGUCAGCACACCCGAUCCCGUAACCUACGUUCUCUAAAGUCGCUCGUUCACCUAAGAUCCUAAUACACUCUCUCAUGGAUCGGGAGGCCGUUGGUUCGAAUCCAACUCACAGUG